AGGCGUUUGUGUAUGUGAAGCACUAUUCAAAGUUUAGACACACGUCCUCAUUGAAUCAAUGAGAAAAUGUUUAUGUUCCUCAUUCUGGAGGUUCUGGAAGUUUGAGGAACCGAAUGCAGCAGCUAUGUGUUCAUUUGACAGUUAUAGAUCAGCUGACAGUCACAGAUCAGCUGACAGACAUCCUGGAGAACUGGUUCCUUCACUAUAUAAACUACAACUGAUUUCAGGAACGAGGAUUAGGUUGAACUUCAGACCGAGUAGUUUACUUGUUGAAGAGCUUCUGUUCACAGGACUCAAGACAUCCAAGAUACGGGGGUUUGGUGUCUUGCUCAAGGACACUCCCGCAUGGAGCAGCCGGGACUCAAACCACCAACCUCCUGCGCCACCGCCGACCCAAACGCUGCGUCACCGGGUUGGUUUCGACUGUGGGACCCGGAAAGAGACCAGUCUGCGGUGGGAGACUUGCUCUGGUCAGCUGGGCGUGUUCAGGGAGGAGAUGAUCUGCAGCAUCCUGGUGAUCUUCAUCCUGA
Gasterosteus aculeatus aculeatus (three-spined stickleback) is the source of this 530-nucleotide non-coding RNA. The record is from RefSeq and is a predicted model, not a curated record. NCBI's taxonomy places the organism in Eukaryota, Metazoa, Chordata, Actinopteri, Perciformes, Gasterosteidae.